AGUGAACGCUGGCGGUAGGCCUAACACAUCCAAGUCGAACGGCAGCACAGUAAGAGCUUGCUCUUACGGGUGGCGAGUGGCGGACGGGUGAGGAAUACAUCGGAAUCUACUUUUUCGUGGGGGAUAACGUAGGGAAACUUACGCUAAUACCGCAUACGACCUACGGGUGAAAGCAGGAGAUCUUCGGACCUUGCGCGAUUGAAUGAGCCGAUGUCGGAUUAGCUAGUUGGCGGGGUAAAGGCCCACCAAGGCGACGAUCCGUAGCUGGUCUGAGAGGAUGAUCAGCCACACUGGAACUGAGACACGGUCCAGACUCCUACGGGAGGCAGCAGUGGGGAAUAUUGGACAAUGGGCGCAAGCCUGAUCCAGCCAUACCGCGUGGGUGAAGAAGGCCUUCGGGUUGUAAAGCCCUUUUGUUGGGAAAGAAAAGCAGCAGGUUAAUACCCCGCUGUUCUGACGGUACCCAAAGAAUAAGCACCGGCUAACUUCGU
RNAcentral lists this ribosomal RNA (491 nucleotides) under uncultured bacterium. Its description in RNAcentral is "partial 16S ribosomal RNA". It matches the Rfam family "Bacterial small subunit ribosomal RNA", at positions 29 to 506 of the family's 1533-position model. The record is from RNAcentral.